Entelurus aequoreus (snake pipefish) is the source of this 307-nucleotide long non-coding RNA. RefSeq lists it as uncharacterized. NCBI's taxonomy places the organism in Eukaryota, Metazoa, Chordata, Actinopteri, Syngnathiformes, Syngnathidae. The record is from RefSeq and is a predicted model, not a curated record. The transcript has 3 exons.
GUGUUUUUCCCGCUACUUGGUGCGUAACGUUGACCGCCGUAACAAGUGGAUUUCUGCCAUACAUAGUAUGAUACGGAGGGAUCACUGGACUCCUACAGAACACUCCAGACUGUGCUGUGAACAUUUUGUCUCUGCGUUGCAGAUAUGGCAGGCAAAAUCAGCCUUGACUUUAAAAAGCGAUCUGGCGAGGAGGAAAGUCAAGAGUCCAGAGCUGCUUCAAAAUCAUCUAUGAGUGUCUCAAGCAAAAGUGUCCCCACCACACAAGCUAUGAGCCCAUCAUUCUCUUAUGCAAGCGCUUAGGCCACAG